Triticum dicoccoides is the source of this 1814-nucleotide RNA transcript. It is a transcript of the gene named sufE-like protein 1, chloroplastic/mitochondrial, with no coding region annotated. Lineage: Eukaryota; Viridiplantae; Streptophyta; Magnoliopsida; Poales; Poaceae. The record is from RefSeq and is a predicted model, not a curated record. The transcript is spliced from 3 exons.
AAAUCAAAGAGAGAAAGAAAAGCUAUUGGCCUCUCCAAUUUCCGGCCGCGGGGCAAGAGAAGAAACCCAACCCGACCUCUGAUUCCCCAAUCGCCACCCCUCCUCCGCCGCCACCCAUGGCGUCCGCGGCCGCCACCUCCGCCCCGCUCCGCCUCCUCUCCUCCUCGCCCCUCUCCAGGCCGCUCCUGUCCAGGCCCCACCUCCUCACCCUCUCCCGCCCCGUCUCCUUCCAGCGCCUCGCCGCCAGGUCCGCCGCCUCCCCGACCCCCUCCACCUCCUCCUCCGCCCCCGCCCCCGUCGACCCGGCGCAGCUCCCCCCGGCGCUCAGGGACAUCAUCGCGCUCUUCCAGUCCGUGCCCGACGAGCGCACCCGCUACAAGCAGCUCCUCGCCUACGCCGCCCGCCUGCCGCCCAUGGACCCGGCGCUCAAGUCCGACGCCAACCGCGUCCGGGGCUGCGUCUCCCAGGUCUGGGUCCACGCCGCGCCGGAGGCGGAGGCCCCCGGCUGCGUCAGCUUCCAGGCCGACUCCGACGCGCAGCUCACCAAGGGCCUCGCCGCGCUGCUCGUGCUCGGCCUCUCCGGCGCGCCCGCCAGGGACGUCGCCAUGGUGCCCGUCGAGUUCAUCGAGAUGCUCGGGAUCAGGCAGAGCCUCUCGCCCUCCCGGAACAGCGGCCUGCUCAACAUGAUCAACCUCAUGAAGCUCAAGGCGCUGGAAAUCGCUGCGGGCCAGGAGGUGACUGGCGGCCAAGAAAUCCGCCAGGAGCGUACUGAAACGCCUGCCGUGGAGAAGGAGGAGCCUCAGUUUGAGGCUUUCGGUGGGCAAGCGCAUGAGAGUUCAGAGGCGGAGAGGCCUGAGGAGGAGGAAUUCGAGGAGGGACCGGCUGCUGUUGUGGAAGGAAAUGGCAGCCUUGGAGGUGGGAGGAAGGAGAGGAUAAGGGAUAGUUUGGAGAGAGGGCUUUCACCACUGGAGCUCAAGAUUGAGGACAUCUCGUAUCAACACAGUGGGCAUGCCGGGGUAGCAGGUAGCGAUGGAGAGACGCAUUUCAAUGUGCGGGUGGUGUCCAAGGAGUUUGAGGGGAAGAGCAUGCUCAAGAGACACAGGGCUGUGUAUGAUCUCCUGCAGGAUGAGCUCAAGAGUGGGCUGCACGCGCUGUCCAUCGAUGCAAAGACACCAUCUGAAGUCUAGGCAGAGCUAGUGAGCACAUGAAGAAGGUGGGCAAGGAAGAGAAGAAAGAUUUGACUAGAAGCAGUCUUCCAUCAUAAGACAAAAAGUCAAACAACCAGCUAAUCUUCUUUCAAUCCCUUUGCAUGAGAACAGUGAAAUCCUCAAUCCUUGGCUUGUCCAGACUCAUGGGCAGACCUAGUUAAAACCAAGAUGGUGUCAUCGACAUAUUGCAUCACUGAUAAUCAGUUCUUGAGGAUGAUUGUAAAAUUACUUUGAUGGGUUGGUGUCUUGGUGAUCCAUAGCUUCAUUGCAUAUUGACUGUACCAGGUUAGCAGCAAGGACAAUGAGCAGAGGAGAAAGGGGGUCUCCUUCUCUAACUCCUAUGGAACUCAUUGAGCAAUAUAGCAGGAGUGCCUUAUUUGAAGAUCAUGUGUAUCCAAAUGAGCCAUCCAGGGCCAAAAUCUUUAGCUUUGAGAAUAUCCACGAUGGUAUUGUGCUCAAUAAGAUCAACAACUUUUUCAAAACUUGACUUAACCACCAGGAUCUGUUUCUUGGAGUGAUGGCAUUGGGAUAUGUAUGUUCAUAAGCCCAGACCAAGCAGUUUUGAAUGGUUAUCUUGAUAAAAUCGUAUUCAUUAAUGUGGACCAA